GACCUCAUAGCUCAGUUGGCUAGAGCGUUGGCUGCACUAAAGCCAUACGCUUACUGGCGUGGGUUCGAAUCCCACACAGGUUA
This 83-nucleotide transfer RNA is filed under the name Schistocephalus solidus. It matches the Rfam family "tRNA". From Rfam's summary of the family: Transfer RNA (tRNA) molecules are approximately 80 nucleotides in length. Their secondary structure includes four short double-helical elements and three loops (D, anti-codon, and T loops). Lineage: Eukaryota; Metazoa; Platyhelminthes; Cestoda; Diphyllobothriidea; Diphyllobothriidae. The record is from Rfam by way of RNAcentral.